CAGUCUGAGCAAGUCACGAGGAGCAAGCCAGUAAGCAGUACCUUUCCAUGGCCUUUGCAUCAGCUCUUGCCUCCAGGUUCCUGCCCUGUUUGAGUGAUGCACUUCCUUCAGUGAUGGGCUGUGGAUGUGGAAGUGUAAGUCAAAUAAGCCUUUUGCCCCAGUUUACAUCAUAGUAGUAGUACUCCUAUAAGGACAAAUUGGUACCAGGAUAGUGGGGGAUUGCUGUCACAGAUCUGACUAUGUUGCAUUUGGGAGGAUUCCGGAAGAACUUUGGUUCUUUGGGCUAGAAAAGCCAUUGAGCGAGCUCUUCUGUUGGGACUUGGAAGAUAAGAACUGAGAGCAGGCAGAUGAUGGAGGACUGGCUUGUAAAGUUUCAGAGAGAAGGAAUGAUUCUACCUAACUCUUUGCAUGAAGACUCCCUGGUAGCUGAUCAGCUGGAACUGAAGCAUCAGCUGUGGUUAGCAGGAAAAAAGAACCACUCAAUUCAAACCUGUGUUUUGCUCGGACCGUGGUCAGCCGGGGCUGAAGAAUCAGCUGUGAUUAAUAAGAAGCCAGCGUCAAUGAGGUAAAUCUUCUGAGAAAUGUUUCCUCUGAGUCAUCACAUGCAAGCUGUGUUCAUAGGUGGCCAAGGUUGCAUGUACCUUGUGCUGGCAGUCAAACUUUGUUGUGUGUAAGAGUCUCUCAGGUGCCAUUGGCUUUGAAGGCAUGAAGGGUUAUGGAGAAGAGCUGAGGCUUGGUACUCUGAGAGGUCAGGAGAGACUAUUGGCAAAGGUACAGCUGGAUAAGCAAUGGAAGACCCAGGAUUGAAGGGGUCAUGCACAACAGCUGAGACUUUGAACCAUGCAGAGGCUACUGGUGCCUUCAUUAGUCCAGCCCGGCUGCAGUAGAAGACCCCAGCUUUCUGGAGAUGGCAGUGCCAUAGGAUUGCUGCCAAGAACAGCAGCAGCAGUGCAGUGGGGAUGACCCAAGCUUGGAAGAAAAGCUGUGUGUGCUAUAGAGGGAGGAGCUGAAGAAGUGACACAAAUCCCUUGGAGGAGCCCAGAGUAACUGACUCUGCCCAGAUCCCAAACCAGAUGGCAGCUCUGUUGACCAUAGCCACAUCUUUGCUCCGGACAUGGCCAAUCCUCAGAGAACAUGGAAUUCCAGAAGAAGGGAUCAUAAAGUCUUUUGGAACUGACAUGAAACCAAUUCUCUGUAAAGAUGCUGAAAAGAAACCAGUGGGCACUAGAGAGAUGGCUCAGUGGCUAAGAGCAUUUCCUGUUCUUUCUAGAGGACCUACACUUGAUUCCAAACACCCACACUGGACACCUCACUCACUACCACUGGAAACUUCAGCUUCAGGAAAGUGUGCAUGUACACCAAAUGCAUGCCUGGCACCUGAAGAAGUUGCAAGAGGGUGCUGGUGGAGCCUCUGGAAUUGGAUUAUGGAUAGAUGUGAAGCCACCAUGUGGGUGUUCUCUGUAAGAGAAACAUGUGCUCUUAGAACUGGGCCAUCUCCCCAUUGGAUAUACCCUCCUUUUUAAAGAAGUAUCACCACAACCCUUCUAGGAAUUCAGAAGAGAGUGAUACCUUGCUAAGAAGAGAGAGGAUGUUCCCCUUUCCACUGUGAUGCUCACAUACCUUGGGGAUGAUGGGUCACUGCACUUGGUGAUCAUGCCAAUAGUUGCCAACGUAUUUACUGGGGAACACCUCUAUCUUCACUUGCAAUAGAGAUGAUCCGAUUCAAUAACAUCAACUAUUGUCUGCUGCACUGUCAUGUCUGCAUCACACUGUUGUCUAAUAGGGUUUUCGUACUUUUCAAAUCUGUUAUGUCUUAUGCUUGCUGUUUAAAUUUCUGACUAUACCCAAAUAGGUUGAGGACCAGAACAGGCAAAAGUCAUUUCUUAAGAAGGACAACCUCAUGUCAUCUCCCCUCUUUCUGUUAUGCUGCCAAAAUAAUAAAGAAUUCCAUGA
This is a long non-coding RNA of Mesocricetus auratus (golden hamster), 1953 nucleotides long. RefSeq lists it as uncharacterized. The record is from RefSeq and is a predicted model, not a curated record. The transcript is spliced from 5 exons. Lineage: Eukaryota; Metazoa; Chordata; Mammalia; Rodentia; Cricetidae.